CCUACGGGAGGCAGCAGUAGGGAAUCUUCCACAAUGGACGAAAGUCUGAUGGAGCAACGCCGCGUGAGUGAAGAAGGGUUUCGGCUCGUAAAGCUCUGUUGGUAGUGAAGAAAGAUAGAGGUAGUAACUGGCCUUUAUUUGACGGUAAUUACUUAGAAAGUCACGGCUAACUACGUGCCAGCAGCCGAGGUAAGACGUAGGUGGCAAGCGUUGUCCGGAUUUAUUGGGCGUAAAGCGAGUGCAGGCGGUUCAAUAAGACUGAUGUGAAAGCCUUCGGCUCAACCGGAGAAUUGCAUCAGAAACUGUUGAACUGGAGUGCAGAAGAGGAGAGUGGAACUCCAUGUGUAGCGGUGGAAUGCGUAGAUAUAUGGAAGAACACCAGUGGCGAAGGCGGCUCUCUGGUCUGCAACUGACGCUGAGGCUCGAAAGCAUGGGUAGCGAACAGGAUUAGAUACCCGAGUAGUC
Molecule: ribosomal RNA, 465 nt
Filed under: uncultured bacterium
Lineage: Bacteria
Description: partial 16S ribosomal RNA
Rfam family: Bacterial small subunit ribosomal RNA
Source: RNAcentral